RNAcentral lists this ribosomal RNA (457 nucleotides) under Rahnella sp. S717-10. RNAcentral's name for it is "bacterial SSU rRNA". It matches the Rfam family "Bacterial small subunit ribosomal RNA", at positions 30 to 475 of the family's 1533-position model. Lineage: Bacteria; Pseudomonadati; Pseudomonadota; Gammaproteobacteria; Enterobacterales; Yersiniaceae. The record is from RNAcentral.
AUUGAACGCUGGCGGCAGGCCUAACACAUGCAAGUCGAGCGGCAGCGGAAAGUAGCUUGCUACUUUGCCGGCGAGCGGCGGACGGGUGAGUAAUGUCUGGGAAACUGCCUGAUGGAGGGGGAUAACUACUGGAAACGGUAGCUAAUACCGCAUGACCUCGAAAGAGCAAAGUGGGGGAUCUUCGGACCUCACGCCAUCGGAUGUGCCCAGAUGGGAUUAGCUAGUAGGUGAGGUAAUGGCUCACCUAGGCGACGAUCCCUAGCUGGUCUGAGAGGAUGACCAGCCACACUGGAACUGAGACACGGUCCAGACUCCUACGGGAGGCAGCAGUGGGGAAUAUUGCACAAUGGGCGCAAGCCUGAUGCAGCCAUGCCGCGUGUGUGAAGAAGGCCUUAGGGUUGUAAAGCACUUUCAGCGAGGAGGAAGGCAUCACACUUAAUACGUGUGGUGAUGACGU